This 253-nucleotide ribosomal RNA is filed under the name uncultured bacterium. Its description in RNAcentral is "partial 16S ribosomal RNA". It matches the Rfam family "Bacterial small subunit ribosomal RNA", at positions 524 to 776 of the family's 1533-position model. The record is from RNAcentral.
UACAGAGGGUGCAAGCGUUAAUCGGAAUUACUGGGCGUAAAGCGCGCGUAGGCGGUUUGUUGCGUCGGCUGUGAAAUCCCGAGGCUCAACCUCGGGUCUGCAGUCGAUACGAGCAAACUAGAGUGUUGCAGGGGAGACUGGAAUUCCUGGUGUAGCGGUGAAAUGCGCAGAUAUCAGGAGGAACACCGGUGGCGAAGGCGGGUCUCUGGGCAACAACUGACGCUGAGGAGCGAAAGCGUGGGUAGCAAACAGG